GAUGAACGCUGGCGGCGUGCCUAAUACAUGCAAGUCGAGCGAACAGAUGAGGAGCUUGCUCCUCUGACGUUAGCGGCGGACGGGUGAGUAAAACGUGGAUAACCUACCUAUAAGACUGGGAUAACUUCGGGAAACCGGAGCUAAUACCGGAUAAUAUAUUGAACCGCAUGGUUCAAUAGUGGAAGACGGUUUUGCUGUCACUUAUAGAUGGAUCCGCGCCGCAUUAGCUAGUUGGUAAGGUAACGGCUUACCAAGGCAACGAUGCGUAGCCGACCUGAGAGGGUGAUCGGCCACACUGGAACUGAGACACGGUCCAGACUCCUACGGGAGGCAGCAGUAGGGAAUCUUCCGCAAUGGGCGAAAGCCUGACGGAGCAACGCCGCGUGAGUGAUGAAGGUCUUCGGAUCGUAAAACUCUGUUAUUAGGGAAGAACAAAUGUGUAAGUAACUAUGCACGUCUUGACGGUACCUAAUCAGAAAGCCACGGCUAACUACGUG
RNAcentral lists this ribosomal RNA (497 nucleotides) under uncultured bacterium. RNAcentral describes it as "partial 16S ribosomal RNA". It matches the Rfam family "Bacterial small subunit ribosomal RNA", at positions 28 to 507 of the family's 1533-position model. The record is from RNAcentral.